UACGUAGGGGGCAAGCGUUGUCCGGAUUUAUUGGGCGUAAAGCGCGCGUAGGCGGCGCGGUAUGUCGUGCGUGAAAUCUCCCGGCUUAACUGGGAGGGGCCGUGCGAAACUGCCGGGCUUGAGGUCGGAAGGGGAAAGUGGAAUUCCGGGUGUAGCGGUGAAAUGCGUAGAUAUCCGGAGGAACACCGGUGGCGAAGGCGGCUUCCUGGACCGACACUGACGCUGAGGCGCGAAAGCUAGGGGAGCAAACGGG
This 253-nucleotide ribosomal RNA is filed under the name uncultured bacterium. Its description in RNAcentral is "partial 16S ribosomal RNA". It matches the Rfam family "Bacterial small subunit ribosomal RNA", at positions 524 to 776 of the family's 1533-position model. The record is from RNAcentral.